Solanum dulcamara is the source of this 1256-nucleotide long non-coding RNA. RefSeq lists it as uncharacterized. The record is from RefSeq and is a predicted model, not a curated record. Lineage: Eukaryota; Viridiplantae; Streptophyta; Magnoliopsida; Solanales; Solanaceae. The transcript is spliced from 2 exons.
ACAGCCAACCACAUCAUAAAUCUAUGCUUAGGUAGGGUCAUAGAAGUCCAUACUAAGUCAACAGUUCUCAUUUGAGGUCUUUGGCCUAUAAUUGUUAAGUAGCUUCGGGUAAUGUAAUAAAUUUCAUUCUGUGUCAGCAUGUAUCUACCUUGGCUAUACCAGCCUUGCAAUUGUGCCUUAAUUUCAUUGAGUUUCUUCCAAUACUAGCUGCAAUCUAUAGGGGCUCUAUGAUUCUAUUGAGGGAUCCUCUUUCAUAGAUACUCUAUGAACCAUUUAACACAUGAUGAAUCUUUAUUCACUAUGAUUUGCCAUAAUAAUCACCCCCACUAAGGCUAUAUUCCAGUUGUUGUUGCCCUUGAUAUUCAAUCCAUUUGGCUUUAAGGAUAGCAAAUUUCAUUCCAAGAGACCAAAUCUACCUUUUUCUUUUCUCAAGUAUUUCCCCACAGAAAAGGCUUGCAUAUCUUAUCUAUUUCCUUGAGUAUGCUUUGAGGUAGAAUAAACACAUCCCCCAGAAGCUAUGUAUGGAAAACAAAUACAACAUUUAUCAAUCCACUAUCGUAGGAGAGUUGUUUAGAGUAGGUCACUUUAAUUCUUUGAGUAAUCUUGUCAAUCAGGGAACAACAGUUAAUUUUCUAACAUUUUUUUGGUGAUAGCGGAAGGCCAAGGUACUUAAUAGAAUUCACCAACUGAGAAUCCAGUUCUUUCUAGAACUUUAUUUCUUGUGUCCUCAUCCACCCCAACUAGGAAUACACUUGAUUUUUCCAUGUUAGCAUCCAACCUAGUGGCAACACUAAAGUGUGUUAGUGCCUCCAUUACUCUAUUUACUGAAGCCACAUUUCCCUUGCAGAAUAUCAUCAGAUCAUCAGCAAAUAUUAGAUACUCCAUCACUAAUACAAAUAGAAAAGGAGAGGUGGGAUCUCCUUGCCUAAGGCCUCUGUUCCCCGCAAAGAAUCCAUGAUUCUCCACAGUAGUGGACAUACACAACAUAAUCUACUUGAUGAAUUUUAUAGGAAAUCCAAAUCCAGCAAAGUACUUCCUCUAGAAAAUCUCAACAUACCAUGUCAUAUGCUUUCUUUAGGUCUACUUUCAUGAGACAUCUAGGAGAAACAUUCUUCCUGUAGUGUCUUAAGAGGUCAUGACAGAUCAAAACAUUAUGCAUCAUUGAUCUCUUCUGUACGAAAGUUGAUUGAUUUUCUGCUACUAUAUAACUCACUGCUUUCUUCAAUCUACUACAAAUUAGUUUAGAUAUGCACUUA